AGAAUGAACGCUGGCGGCGUGCUUUACACAUGCAAGUCGAGCGAGGCCAGGUAGCAAUACCUGAGUCGAGCGGCGCACGGGUGAGUAACGCGUGGAUAACCUGCCUGAUGGUGGGGGGAUAACCCGGGGGAAACUCGGGCUAAUACCGCAUAACACCGAGAGGUCAAAGGGGGCUCGCAAGAGCUCUCGCCUGCAGAGGGGUCCGCGUCCGAUUAGCUAGUUGCAGGGUAAUGGCCUACCAAGGCGACGAUCGGUAGCCGGCCUGAGAGGGUUGAUCGGCCACACUGGAACUGAGACACGGUCCAGACUCCGUACGGGAGGCAGCGAGGUGGGGGAAUUUUGGCGACUAAUGGGACGAAAGCCUAGGACGCAGCAACGGCCGCGUGGAGAGUGAAGGUCUAGGAUAGUAAACUCCGUGUCAGGUAGGGAAAAAGGGACCGGGCUACG
Molecule: ribosomal RNA, 447 nt
Filed under: uncultured soil bacterium
Lineage: Bacteria
Description: bacterial SSU rRNA
Rfam family: Bacterial small subunit ribosomal RNA
Source: RNAcentral